RNAcentral lists this long non-coding RNA (203 nucleotides) under Homo sapiens (human). RNAcentral describes it as "HSALNT0083397". The record is from RNAcentral. Lineage: Eukaryota; Metazoa; Chordata; Mammalia; Primates; Hominidae.
CAGGAUCUGAAUUUGGUGGCCUCUACACUGCACUGAGAGGGAGGACUGUGGCAUUCAGAAGCCUCCUGUUAGGGGCCGUGUUAGGGGCUGUGGGGUUCCAGCGUGACUCCAAUAUGGUUGCUCCACCCUGGCAAGGCCCUCUCCACUGGCAAAUGGACAACAUGCUCCUGGAGUGACCAGAAUCACUGCGGAGGUUCGUCAGU